UUGAUCCUGCCAGUAGUCAUACGCUCGUCUCAAAGAUUAAGCCAUGCAUGUGUAAGUAUAAAUAAUUCUACUUUGAAACUGCGAAUGGCUCAUUAUAUCAGUUAUAGUUUAUUAGAAAAAAUGUACUACUUGGAUAACCGUAGUAAUUCUAGGGCUAAUACAUGAGUAAAUCCUCGACUUUGAAGAGGUGUGUUUAUUAGUAUGAAAACCAUAUGCUUCGGCAUAAUAGUGAGUAAUAAUAACCUUUCAUAUCGUAUGUUGAAAUAACGAUAGUUCUUUCAAGUUUCUGCCCUAUCAGCUUUCGAUGGUAGUGCAUUGGACUACCAUGGCAGUAACGGGUAACGAAGAAUUUGGGUUCGAUUUCGGAGAGGGAGCCUGAGAGAUGGCUACCACAUCCAAGGAAGGCAGCAGGCGCGUAAAUUACCCAAUCCUGACAUAGGGAGGUAGUGACAAUAAAUCACAAUGCGGGACUUUUAGUUUUGCAAUUGGAUUGAGAACAAUGUAAAAGAGUUAUCGAUAAACAAUUGGAGGGCAAGUCUGGUGCCAGCAGCCGCGGUAAUUCCAGCUCCAAUAGCGUAUAUUAACGUUGUUGCAGU
This 596-nucleotide ribosomal RNA is filed under the name Blastocystis sp. RNAcentral's name for it is "SSU rRNA". It matches the Rfam family "Eukaryotic small subunit ribosomal RNA", at positions 8 to 619 of the family's 1831-position model. The record is from RNAcentral. Lineage: Eukaryota; Bigyra; Opalinata; Blastocystidae.